UGGGGAAUUUUGGACAAUGGGCGCAAGCCUGAUCCAGCUAUUCCGCGUGUGGGAUGAAGGCCCUCGGGUUGUAAACCACUUUUGUAGAGAACGAAAAGACACCUUCGAAUAAAGGGUGUUGCUGACGGUACUCUAAGAAUAAGCACCGGCUAACUACGUGCCAGCAGCCGCGGUAAUACGUAGGGUGCGAGCGUUAAUCGGAAUUACUGGGCGUAAAGGGUGCGCAGGCGGUUGAGUAAGACAGAUGUGAAAUCCCCGAGCUUAACUCGGGAAUGGCAUAUGUGACUGCUCGACUAGAGUGUGUCAGAGGGAGGUGGAAUUCCACGUGUAGCAGUGAAAUGCGUAGAUAUGUGGAAGAACACCGAUGGCGAAGGCAGCCUCCUGGGACAUAACUGACGCUCAGGCACGAAAGCGUGGGGGAGCAAACAGGAUUAGAUACC
This 440-nucleotide ribosomal RNA is filed under the name uncultured bacterium. RNAcentral describes it as "bacterial SSU rRNA". It matches the Rfam family "Bacterial small subunit ribosomal RNA", at positions 355 to 786 of the family's 1533-position model. The record is from RNAcentral.